CGGGGUAUAGCGCAGUCUGGUAGCGCACCUGCUUUGGGAGCAGGGGGUCGGAGGUUCAAAUCCUCCUGCCCCGACCA
Molecule: transfer RNA, 77 nt
Filed under: Hyphomicrobiales bacterium
Lineage: Bacteria; Pseudomonadati; Pseudomonadota; Alphaproteobacteria; Hyphomicrobiales
Description: tRNA-Pro
Rfam family: tRNA
About the family: Transfer RNA (tRNA) molecules are approximately 80 nucleotides in length. Their secondary structure includes four short double-helical elements and three loops (D, anti-codon, and T loops).
Source: RNAcentral